GUCCUCAAAGUUACGCAAUUUUAGGCACGCUGACGCUCGUGGACCCACAAAAACACACUCUCCGAUGAUACAGCCUCCCGGGGCCACAGUCUGGGGCGGCGUCUCGGGGCCAGGACGAUUCCCAAACCCUCGACCGCGGCGCUCCCUCCCCGGCGCAGCCCGGCGCCCCGGGACCCGCGCCCCGCCGGCCGCCCGCCAGCACUUUGCAGAAAGCCCGCGGCCACCGUCCCAGGUCCUACCCGCCACCGCACUGAGCCACUCCGUACCUCUUCCUCCUGAAGUCGGCAGCUUGAAAUGACAGGACGCGAGAACUCGAGUAACAUCCGGGGGCAGCCCGCUCCGGGCCGGCGUUUUCAGGGCGCAGCUUCAAACCCACCUCCGACGCCGGGUCCUCGGAAACCUCUGCAGCGUCUCCGCACCCGCCGCCCCUGUUCAGACUCCUCUACAGCCCUUUUCAGACUGUCCUGGAAUUAUUUGUUUACCUGGCUGCUUCUCUUACUCUUUUGGGAGAUCCUUUUUGGAAGACGAGACCGGGCCCUGUUUAUCUGUUGAAUCCCAUGGCUAUUUGAAUACGCUAUCUGGUAUACAGUAGGCGCUCAAUAAAUAUUUGUUGGCUGAGGGAA
Balaenoptera acutorostrata (minke whale) is the source of this 623-nucleotide long non-coding RNA. RefSeq lists it as uncharacterized. NCBI's taxonomy places the organism in Eukaryota, Metazoa, Chordata, Mammalia, Artiodactyla, Balaenopteridae. The record is from RefSeq and is a predicted model, not a curated record. The transcript is spliced from 2 exons.